RNAcentral lists this ribosomal RNA (331 nucleotides) under uncultured bacterium. Its description in RNAcentral is "bacterial SSU rRNA". It matches the Rfam family "Bacterial small subunit ribosomal RNA", at positions 568 to 898 of the family's 1533-position model. The record is from RNAcentral.
UACGCAGGCGGCUUGGUAAGACAGAUGUGAAAUCCCCGGGCCUAACCUGGGAACUGCAUUUGUGACUGCCAUGGCUCGAGUCUGUCAGAGGGGGGUGGAAUUCCACGUGUAGCAGUGAAAUACGUAGAGAUGUGGAGGAACACCGAUGGCGAAGGCAGCCCCCUGGGAUGAGACUGACGCUCAUGUACGAAAGCGUGGGGAGCAAACAGGAUUAGAUACCCUGGUAGUCCACGCCCUAAACGAUGUCGACUAGUUGUCGGGAAUUCAUUUUCUCGGUAACGCAGCUAACGCGUGAAGUCGACCGCCUGGGGAGUACGGUCGCAAGAUUAAA